GAGGGGCGUCCGCUCCUCUCUUCUAUCUGCCUUUUGGGCGCCGACCAGGAGGCCCCGUCUGCACAGCAUCCCCACACCUCAGUCUGAGGCUGACAGGGUCACGUGGCCCACGUUGACCUCAGACUCACUAUGAGGUCACUUUGAAAGUCAAAUCAUCAGAUCAUCAGCUGCCAAAUACUUGGACUCCCACCGGAGCGCCCAAAUCUGGCUUUUGUGGUGAGGAAAGAGAAGCCCAUGGAAAACGAUUCGACUCUGUUCUAGGACCCGAGGUCAAGAUGCCCCAGUUAAGGCUGGAGAGACAGCUUGGCUCAGCGGUUAAGAAUGCCGACUGCUUUACCAGAGGACCUGAGUUCAGUUCCCAGCACCCACAUGGCAGCUCACGACUGUCUGUGACUCCAGUUCCAAAGGACCUGGUGACCUGGCAGACAAGCAGGCAGAACACCAAUGCACAGAAAAAAAAAAUCAUUUUUAAAAAAAUACCCCAGUUAAGUUUAUUAAUGUGCCAGCUUCUGCAAAGCGCUCCCUGCAGGUGCGGCUGUUGAGCGAGAGACCAGGAUGUGCAUUUACCUUUAAAGGGUCCUUUCCCCAGUACCUAGUGGUGCUCCGCUUUGUCCUGAAUUCCUGACUGGACUCCCAGCCAGCCUGAAUAAAGGUUUUCUCUCUUUUUAA
Molecule: long non-coding RNA, 669 nt
Organism: Apodemus sylvaticus (European woodmouse)
Lineage: Eukaryota; Metazoa; Chordata; Mammalia; Rodentia; Muridae
Exons: 3
Source: RefSeq, a predicted model, not a curated record